RNAcentral lists this ribosomal RNA (497 nucleotides) under uncultured bacterium. RNAcentral describes it as "partial 16S ribosomal RNA". It matches the Rfam family "Bacterial small subunit ribosomal RNA", at positions 28 to 507 of the family's 1533-position model. The record is from RNAcentral.
GAUGAACGCUGGCGGCGUGCCUAAUACAUGCAAGUCGAGCGAACGGACGAGAAGCUUGCUUUUCUGAUGUUAGCGGCGGACGGGUGAGUAACACGUGGAUAACCUACCUAUAAGACUGGGAUAACUUCGGGAAACCGGAGCUAAUACCGGAUAAUAUUUUGAACCGCAUGGUUCAAAAGUGAAAGACGGUCUUGCUGUCACUUAUAGAUGGAUCCGCGCUGCAUUAGCUAGUUGGUAAGUUAACGGCUUACCAAGGCAACGAUGCAUAGCCGACCUGAGAGAGUGAUCGGCCACACGGGAACGGAGACACGGUCCAGACUCCUACGGGAGGCAGCAGUAGGGAAUCUUCCGCAAAGGGCGAAAGCCUGACGGAGCAACGCCGCGUGAGUGAUGAAGGUCUUCGGAUCGUAAAACUCUGUUAUUAGGGAAGAACAUAUGUGUAAGUAACUGUGCACAUCUUGACGGUACCUAAUCAGAAAGCCACGGCUAACUACGUG